AGACAUGAUCUUGCAAAAAAACUUGAAGAAACUGGACAGAAAGAUGUUGAUGCUCACCAACUUCCAGAUUUAUCAGUAUACAGAAACUACAUUAAAGAAAAAUUUGAAACAAUGAAAGAUCCUAAUGCUGUUCCAGGUGAAUAUCUGCUCUUGAAUCAGAGAUACUCAAAACUAAUAA
This is a non-coding RNA of Thamnophis sirtalis, 178 nucleotides long. NCBI's taxonomy places the organism in Eukaryota, Metazoa, Chordata, Lepidosauria, Squamata, Natricidae. The record is from RefSeq and is a predicted model, not a curated record.